GAUGAACGCUGGCGGCGUGCUUAACACAUGCAAGUCGAACGAUGAAGCCCAGCUUGCUGGGUGGAUUAGUGGCGAACGGGUGAGUAACACGUGAGUAACCUGCCCUUGACUCUGGGAUAAGCCUGGGAAACUGGGUCUAAUACUGGAUAUGACUUCUCAUCGCAUGGUGGGGGGUGGAAAGAUUUAUUGGUCUUGGAUGGACUCGCGGCCUAUCAGCUUGUUGGUGAGGUAAUGGCUCACCAAGGCGACGACGGGUAGCCGGCCUGAGAGGGUGACCGGCCACACUGGGACUGAGACACGGCCCAGACUCCUACGGGAGGCAGCAGUGGGGAAUAUUGCACAAUGGGCGCAAGCCUGAUGUAGCGACGCCGCGUGAGGGAUGACGGCCUUCGGGUUGUAAACCUCUUUCAGUAGGGAAGAAGCGAGAGUGACGGUACCUGCAGAAGAAGCGCCGGCUAACUACGUG
Molecule: ribosomal RNA, 466 nt
Filed under: uncultured bacterium
Lineage: Bacteria
Description: partial 16S ribosomal RNA
Rfam family: Bacterial small subunit ribosomal RNA
Source: RNAcentral